This 468-nucleotide ribosomal RNA is filed under the name uncultured bacterium. RNAcentral describes it as "partial 16S ribosomal RNA". It matches the Rfam family "Bacterial small subunit ribosomal RNA", at positions 28 to 507 of the family's 1533-position model. The record is from RNAcentral.
GACGAACGCUGGCGGCGUGCUUAACACAUGCAAGUCGAACGGAAAGGCCCUGCUUUUGUGGGGUGCCCGAGUGGCGAACGGGUGAGUAACACGUGAGUAACCUGCUCUUGACUUUGGGAUAACUUCAGGAAACUGGGGCUAAUACCGGAUAGGAGCUCCUGCUGCAUGGUGGGGGUUGGAAAGUUUCGGCGGUUGUGGAUGGACUCGCGGCUUAUCAGCUUGUUGGUGGGGUAGUUGCUGACCAAGGCUGUGACGGGUAGCCGGCCUGAGAGGGUGACCGGCCACAUUGGGACUGAGAGACGGCCCAGACGCCUACGUGAGGCAGCAGUGGGGAAUAUUGCACAAUGGGCGGGAGCCUGUUGCAGCGACGCCGCGUGCGGGAUGACGGCCUUUGGGUUGUAAAACGCUUUCGCCUGUGACGAAGCGUGUGUGACGGUAAUGGGUAAAGAAGCACCGGCUAACUACGUG